This 307-nucleotide ribosomal RNA is filed under the name uncultured bacterium. RNAcentral describes it as "partial 16S ribosomal RNA". It matches the Rfam family "Bacterial small subunit ribosomal RNA", at positions 506 to 810 of the family's 1533-position model. The record is from RNAcentral.
AGACAGCAGUCGCCGCGGGAAUACGUAGGUGGCAAGCGUUGUCCGGAAUUAUUGGGCGUAAAGCGCGCGCAGGCGGCCUAUCCAGUCUGUCUUAAAAGUUCGGGGCUUAACCCCGUGAUGGGAUGGAAACUGCCAAUCUAGAGUAUCGGAGAGGAAAGUGGAAUUCCUAGUGUAGCGGUGAAAUGCGUAGAUAUUAGGAAGAACACCAGUGGCGAAGGCGACUUUCUGGACGAAAACUGACGCUGAGGCGCGAAAGCGUGGGGAGCAAACAGGAUUAGAUACCCGUAGUCCCUGUCUCUUAUACACA